RNAcentral lists this ribosomal RNA (468 nucleotides) under Triticum aestivum (bread wheat). Its description in RNAcentral is "partial small subunit ribosomal RNA". The record is from RNAcentral. Lineage: Eukaryota; Viridiplantae; Streptophyta; Magnoliopsida; Poales; Poaceae.
AUGGCGGCGAAUUCAAAAAUGAUGCCACUGCAACAUAUCGGUUCCGGUGGCACAUGGAGAUACCGGUGCAAAAGGAAGUGGCCGUAUGGGUACUGUGGUCGAUGUCUUCAAAGUGGUACAAGGGGAGAUGCACGAUCGUGGCCAUCUUCGGACCUGGGGCUCCAUGAGCGCCGUGGUGGUCUUGCAGCAGCGCAAGGUGCCGGGAAGGAGUCGGUCGUGGCGUGGAGGCAUCCGACAAGGGGAACACCGGAUCAAGGCGAAGGUCAGCAGGGGCGACCCAGUCAUGGCAGCAGCGAAGGGAGGCGCGUGGGGUGGUUGCGGGACUUGGCUGCCGCUGGAGGUCAACGAGGGGCGGCGUAUGUCCCUGUCGCCCGAAGCAGAGGACGAACGAGCGACGUGGCUCCAGGAACACGGCGAGGAUGCAGAGGCGCAGGGGUGGUCGACGGCACCGGCUGGUGGCAAAGAUGA